Molecule: ribosomal RNA, 253 nt
Filed under: uncultured bacterium
Lineage: Bacteria
Description: partial 16S ribosomal RNA
Rfam family: Bacterial small subunit ribosomal RNA
Source: RNAcentral
UACGUAGGGGGCAAGCGUUGUCCGGAUUUAUUGGGCGUAAAGAGCUUGUAGGCGGUCUGUCGCGCCUGCUGUGAAAAUCCGGGGCUCAACCCCGGACUUGCAGUGGGUACGGGCAGACUAGAGUGUGGUAGGGGAGACUGGAAUUCCUGGUGUAGCGGUGAAAUGCGCAGAUAUCAGGAGGAACACCGAUGGCGAAGGCAGGUCUCUGGGCCACUACUGACGCUGAGACGCGAAAGCGUGGGGAGCAAACAGG